Molecule: ribosomal RNA, 403 nt
Filed under: uncultured marine bacterium
Lineage: Bacteria
Description: bacterial SSU rRNA
Rfam family: Bacterial small subunit ribosomal RNA
Source: RNAcentral
AGAAGGGGCUUCGGGUUGUAAAGCACUUCAACGAGGAAGAAUGCGUAGCGGUUAGUACGCGGUAGGAAAGACAUCACUCGCAGAAGAAGCACCGGCUAACUCCGUGCCAGCAGCCGCGGUAAUACGGAGGGUGCAAGCGUUAAUCGGAAUUAGUGGGAGUAAAGCGCGCGUAGGUGGCUUGAUAAGCCGGUUGUGAAAGCCCCGGGCUCAACCUGGGAACGGCAUCCGGAACUGUCAAGCUUGAGUGCAGGAGAGGAAGGUAGAAUUCCCGGUGUAGCGGUGAAAUGCGUAGAGAUCGGGAGGAAUACCAGUGGCGAAGGCGGCCUUCUGGACUGACACUGACACUGAGGUGCGAAAGCGUGGGUAGCAAACAGGAUUAGAUACCCUGGUAGUCCACGCCGUA